UACGGAGGGUCCAAGCGUUAUCCGGAUUUACUGGGUUUAAAGGGUGCGUAGGCGGACUUUUAAGUCAAAUGUGAAAGCUUACAGCUCAACUGUAAGACUGCAUUUGAUACUGGAAGUCUUGAAUAUGGUUGAAGUUGGCGGAAUAAAUCAUGUAGCGGUGAAAUGCUUAGAUAUCACAUAGAACACCGAUUGCGAAGGCAGCUAGCUAGGGCAUAAUUGACGCUGAUGCACGAAAGUGUGGGUAUCAAACAGG
RNAcentral lists this ribosomal RNA (253 nucleotides) under uncultured bacterium. RNAcentral describes it as "partial 16S ribosomal RNA". It matches the Rfam family "Bacterial small subunit ribosomal RNA", at positions 524 to 776 of the family's 1533-position model. The record is from RNAcentral.